RNAcentral lists this ribosomal RNA (483 nucleotides) under uncultured bacterium. Its description in RNAcentral is "bacterial SSU rRNA". It matches the Rfam family "Bacterial small subunit ribosomal RNA", at positions 32 to 524 of the family's 1533-position model. The record is from RNAcentral.
AAUCAACGCUGGCGGCGUGCCUCAGACAUGCAAGUCGAACGAUUAAAGCUCUCUUCGGAGAGUGCAUAGAGUGGCGCACGGGUGAGUAACACGUAAGUAAUCUACCUUCGAGUGGGGAAUAACGUCCGGAAACGGACGCUAAUACCGCAUAAUGCAGCGGCAUCGUAAGAUGACAGUUGUUAAAGAUUUAUCGCUUGAAGAGGAGCUUGCGGCAGAUUAGCUAGUUGGUAAGGUAAUGGCUUACCAAGGCUACGAUCUGUAACCGGUCUUAGAGGACGGUCGGUCACACUGACACUGAAUAACGGGUCAGACUCCUACGGGAGGCAGCAGUCGGGAAUUUUGGGCAAUGGGCGAAAGCCUGACCCAGCAACGCCGCGUGAAGGAUGGAAGUAUUUCGGUAUGUAAACUUCGAAAGAAUGGGAAGAAUAAAUGACGGUACCAUUUAUAAGCUCCGGCUAACUACGUGCCAGCAGCCGCGGUAAU